AACCUUAUGGACCUGCGGGCGUAUACCUGCGGAAGGAUCAUUACCGAGUUAGGGUAGUCACUCACUGCCCGACCUCCCAACCCUGUGUCUACCACACUGUCGUUGCUUCGGCGGACCGGUUGACCAACUGGUCAUGACCGCCGGGGGCUGGCUCUGUCCCCCCUGGAGAGCGUCCGCCGAUGGCCCAACCACAAAACUCUUGUACCGAAACGUGUCGUCUGAAUUAUAUUUGAGAAAUCA
Molecule: unclassified non-coding RNA, 240 nt
Filed under: soil metagenome
Description: partial contains 5.8S ribosomal RNA, internal transcribed spacer 2, and large subunit ribosomal RNA
Source: RNAcentral